Molecule: ribosomal RNA, 379 nt
Filed under: uncultured cyanobacterium
Lineage: Bacteria; Bacillati; Cyanobacteriota
Description: bacterial SSU rRNA
Rfam family: Bacterial small subunit ribosomal RNA
Source: RNAcentral
CGAAAGCCUGACGGAGCAAUACCGCGUGAGGGAGGAAGGUCCUUGGAUUGUAAACCUCUUUUAUCAGGGAAGAAGUUCUGACGGUACCUGAUGAAUAAGCAUCGGCUAACACCGUGCCAGCAGCCGCGGUAAUACGGAGGAUGCAAGCGUUAUCCGGAAUUAUUGGGCGUAAAGCGUCCGUAGGUGGUUAUGCAAGUCUGCCGUUAAAGAAUGGAGCUUAACUCCAUAGGAGCGGUGGAAACUGCAAGACUAGAGUACAGUAGGGGUAGCAGGAAUUCCCAGUGUAGCGGUGAAAUGCGUAGAUAUUGGGAAGAACAUCGGUGGCGAAAGCGUGCUACUGGGCUGAAACUGACACUGAGGGACGAAAGCUAGGGUAGCG